GUAGGUGAACCUGCGGAAGGAUCAUUACUGAAGUGCUGCCUGGCGCAAGCUGGGUGGCUAUUAUCCUUCAUACUCUCACUGUUUGUGGAAGCUGCGGAGAUGGAUAACACCGUCUCUGGAGUGGAAGCGGCAGUGUGAAUUUACCUUCUGGUAAAAAAAUGUCUGAUUACAAACAUAACAAACCAAAACUUUCAACAACGAAUCUCUUGGUUCUC
This 215-nucleotide unclassified non-coding RNA is filed under the name rhizosphere metagenome. RNAcentral's name for it is "partial ribosomal RNA internal transcribed spacer region". The record is from RNAcentral.